This 28-nucleotide non-coding RNA is filed under the name Homo sapiens (human). Lineage: Eukaryota; Metazoa; Chordata; Mammalia; Primates; Hominidae. The record is from RNAcentral.
UCCUUUCUCGGUACCUCUGUGCCCCUCC